CCCUUAGAUGUCCUGGGCCGCACGCGCGCUACACUGAGUGUCUGAGAUACGAGUCUGCCUGGUCCGGCAAGGUCUAGGUAAUCGCUAAAAGACACAUCAUGCUUGGGAUAGAUUAUUGCAAAUAUUAAUCUUGAACGAGGAAUUCCUAGUAAGCGCAAGUCAACAGCUUGCGUUGAUUACGUCCCUGCCCUUUGUACACACCGCCCGUCGCUACUACUGAUUGGAAGUUUAAGCGAGGUUCUCGAACUGCUAGCGACUUAGCUUCGGUGAGGUCGCAGUGUGGGAAGUGAACCUAGCUUUGGUGUCUAGAGGAAGUAAAAGUCGUAACA
Molecule: ribosomal RNA, 329 nt
Filed under: uncultured eukaryote
Lineage: Eukaryota
Description: partial 18S ribosomal RNA
Rfam family: Eukaryotic small subunit ribosomal RNA
Source: RNAcentral